GCCGCCGUAGUAUAGCCCGGUCUAGUAUGCGGGCCUGUCGAGCCCGUGACCCGGGUUCAAAUCCCGGCGGCGGCG
Molecule: transfer RNA, 75 nt
Rfam family: tRNA
About the family: Transfer RNA (tRNA) molecules are approximately 80 nucleotides in length. Their secondary structure includes four short double-helical elements and three loops (D, anti-codon, and T loops). Further hydrogen bonds mediate the characteristic L-shaped molecular structure. tRNAs have two regions of fundamental functional importance: the anti-codon, which is responsible for specific mRNA codon recognition, and the 3' end, to which the tRNAs corresponding amino acid is attached (by aminoacyl-tRNA synthetases). tRNAs cope with the degeneracy of the genetic code in two manners: having more than one tRNA (with a specific anti-codon) for a particular amino acid; and 'wobble' base-pairing, i.e. permitting non-standard base-pairing at the 3rd anti-codon position.
Source: Rfam